CCUGCCUUUGUAGUGCUCACACAGAUUGUUUGAUAAAUAAUAAAUUUCAAAAUGUACUGCGAAGUGCAUUGUGAAAUUUUGCUCUUUAAAAAUCUGGAUCAAGCUGAAAAUUGAAACGACACACUGUUUAAGUGUGUUCGAGUCUCUCAAAUUUUCGCAAUCAGAAGUGAAACAUCUUCGGGUUGUGAGGUUAAGCGACUAAGCGUACACGGUGGAUGCCCUGGCAGUCAGAGGCGAUGAAGGACGUGCUAAUCUGCGAAAAGCGUCGGUAAGGUGAUAUGAACCGUUANNNNNNNNNNNNNNNNUGUGAACUCGAAGAGUAGGGCGGGACACGUGGUAUCCUGUCUGAAUAUGGGGGGACCAUCCUCCAAGGCUAAAUACUCCUGACUGACCGAUAGUGAACCAGUACCGUGAGGGAAAGGCGAAAAGAACCCCGGCGAGGGGAGUGAAAAAGAACCUGAAACCGUGUACGUACAAGCAGUGGGAGCACCUUCGGGUGUGACUGCGUACCUUUUGUAUAAUGGGUCAGCGACUUAUAUUCUGUAGCAAGGUUAACCGUAUAGGGGAGCCGCAGGGAAACCGAGUCUUAACUGGGCGUUAAGUUGCAGGGUAUAGACCCGAAACCCGGUGAUCUAGCCAUGGGCAGGUUGAAGGUUGGGUAACACUAACUGGAGGACCGAACCGACUAAUGUUGAAAAAUUAGCGGAUGACUUGUGGCUGGGGGUGAAAGGCCAAUCAAACCGGGAGAUAGCUGGUUCUCCCCGAAAGCUAUUUAGGUAGCGCCUCGUGAACUCAUCUUCGGGGGUAGAGCACUGUUUCGGCUAGGGGGUCAUCCCGACUUACCAACCCGAUGCAAACUACGAAUACCGAAGAAUGUUAUCACGGGAGACACACGGCGGGUGCUAACGUCCGUCGUGAAGAGGGAAACAACCCAGACCGCCAGCUAAGGUCCCAAAGUCAUGGUUAAGUGGGAAACGAUGUGGGAAGGCACAGACAGCCAGGAUGUUGGCUUAGAAGCAGCCAUCAUUUAAAGAAAGCGUAAUAGCUCACUGGUCGAGUCGGCCUGCGCGGAAGAUGUAACGGGGCUAAACCAUGCACCGAAGCUGCGGCAGCGACACUAUGUGUUGUUGGGUAGGGGAGCGUUCUGUAAGCCUGCGAAGGUGUGCUGUGAGGCAUGCUGGAGGUAUCAGAAGUGCGAAUGCUGACAUAAGUAACGAUAAAGCGGGUGAAAAGCCCGCUCGCCGGAAGACCAAGGGUUCCUGUCCAACGUUAAUCGGGGCAGGGUGAGUCGACCCCUAAGGCGAGGCCGAAAGGCGUAGUCGAUGGGAAACAGGUUAAUAUUCCUGUACUUGGUGUUACUGCGAAGGGGGGACGGAGAAGGCUAUGUUAGCCGGGCGACGGUUGUCCCGGUUUAAGCAUGUAGGCUGNAAAUCGUACCCCAAACCGACACAGGUGGUCAGGUAGAGAAUACCAAGGCGCUUGAGAGAACUCGGGUGAAGGAACUAGGCAAAAUGGUGCCGUAACUUCGGGAGAAGGCACGCUGGUGUGUAGGUGAAGUCCCUGCGGAUGGAGCUGAGACCAGUCGAAGAUACCAGCUGGCUGCAACUGUUUAUUAAAAACACAGCACUGUGCAAACACGAAAGUGGACGUAUACGGUGUGACGCCUGCCCGGUGCCGGAAGGUUAAUUGAUGGGGUUAUCCGUAAGGAGAAGCUCUUGAUCGAAGCCCCGGUAAACGGCGGCCGUAACUAUAACGGUCCUAAGGUAGCGAAAUUCCUUGUCGGGUAAGUUCCGACCUGCACGAAUGGCGUAAUGAUGGCCAGGCUGUCUCCACCCGAGACUCAGUGAAAUUGAACUCGCUGUGAAGAUGCAGUGUACCCGCGGCAAGACGGAAAGACCCCGUGAACCUUUACUAUAGCUUGACACUGAACAUUGAGCCUUGAUGUGUAGGAUAGGUGGGAGGCUUUGAAGCGUGGACGCCAGUCUGCGUGGAGCCAACCUUGAAAUACCACCCUUUAAUGUUUGAUGUUCUAACGUUGGCCCCUGACCGGGGUUGCGGACAGUGUCUGGUGGGUAGUUUGACUGGGGCGGUCUCCUCCCAAAGCGUAACGGAGGAGCACGAAGGUUAGCUAAUCCUGGUCGGACAUCAGGAGGUUAGUGCAAUGGCAUAAGCUAGCUUGACUGCGAGCGUGACGGCGCGAGCAGGUGCGAAAGCAGGUCAUAGUGAUCCGGUGGUUCUGAAUGGAAGGGCCAUCGCUCAACGGAUAAAAGGUACUCCGGGGAUAACAGGCUGAUACCGCCCAAGAGUUCAUAUCGACGGCGGUGUUUGGCACCUCGAUGUCGGCUCAUCACAUCCUGGGGCUGAAGUAGGUCCCAAGGGUAUGGCUGUUCGCCAUUUAAAGUGGUACGCGAGCUGGGUUUAGAACGUCGUGAGACAGUUCGGUCCCUAUCUGCCGUGGGCGCUGGAGAAUUGAGGGGGGCUGCUCCUAGUACGAGAGGACCGGAGUGGACGCAUCACUGGUGUUCGGGUUGUCAUGCCAAUGGCACUGCCCGGUAGCUAAAUGCGGAAGAGAUAAGUGCUGAAAGCAUCUAAGCACGAAACUUGCCCCGAGAUGAGUUCUCCCUGAGACUUUAAGUCUCCUGAAGGAACGUUNGACGUUGAUAGGCCGGGUGUGUAAGCGCAGCGAUGCGUUGAGCUAACCGGUACUAAUGAACCGUGAGGCUUAACCUU
RNAcentral lists this ribosomal RNA (2730 nucleotides) under Klebsiella pneumoniae. Its description in RNAcentral is "23S ribosomal RNA". It matches the Rfam family "Bacterial large subunit ribosomal RNA". Lineage: Bacteria; Pseudomonadati; Pseudomonadota; Gammaproteobacteria; Enterobacterales; Enterobacteriaceae. The record is from RNAcentral.